Molecule: ribosomal RNA, 449 nt
Filed under: uncultured bacterium
Lineage: Bacteria
Description: partial 16S ribosomal RNA
Rfam family: Bacterial small subunit ribosomal RNA
Source: RNAcentral
AACGAACGCUGGCGGCAUGCCUAACACAUGCAAGUCGAACGAGACCUUCGGGUCUAGUGGCGCACGGGUGCGUAACGCGUGGGAAUCUACCCUUGGGUUCGGAAUAACAGUUAGAAAUGACUGCUAAUACCGGAUAAUGGCGUAAGUCCAAAGAUUUAUCGCCCAAGGAUGAGCCCGCGUAAGAUUAGCUUGUUGGUGGGGUAAUGGCCUACCAAGGCGACGAUCUUUAGCUGGUCUGAGAGGAUGAUCAGCCACACUGGGACUGAGACACGGCCCAGACUCCUACGGGAGGCGGCAGUGGGGAAUAUUGGACAAUGGGCGAAAGCCUGAUCCAGCAAUGCCGCGUGAGUGAUGAAGGCCUUAGGGUUGUAAAGCUCUUUUACCAGGGAUGAUAAUGACAGUACCUGGAGAAUAAGCUCCGGCUAACUCCGUGCCAGCCGCCGCAGUAA